GGGGAAAGGGAAACCCGGAGCACGGACCCCGCCCCUUCGCGGCUCCACGCUUGACGUCGCUGGGGGCGCCGGCCUCCGCCCGGCUCGAAGCGGCUCUCCGUGGAGGCCCAGACCCCUCUGCUCCUCAUGGGCAACUGCCAGGCAGGGCACAACCUGCAUCUCUGUCUGGCCCACCACCCACCUCUGGUCUGUGCCACCUUGAUCCUGCUGCUGCUUGGCCUCUCUGGCCUGGGCCUUGGCAGCUUCCUCCUCACACACAGGACUGGCCUGCGCAGCCCUGACAUCCCUCAGGACUGGGUCUCCUUUUUGAGAUCUUUUGGUCAGCUGUCCCUGUGCCCUGUGAAUGGGACAGUCACAGGGAAAUGGCAAGGGUCUCACAUCGUGGGUUUACUGACCACUUUGCACUUUGGAGAUGGUCCAGACAGGAACAAGACCCAGACAUUCCAAACCAAGAUCCUGGGUAGUCAGAUUGGACUGAAAGGACCUUCUGCAGAACAGCAGAUCCUUAUCACAGCCAGAGUGACCACAGAAAGGACCCCAGGCAUCUGCCUGUAUUUUAGUGCUGUUCCAGGAAUCUUGCCCUCCAGCCAGCCACCCAUAUCCUGCUCAGAGGAAGGAGCAGGAAAUGCUACCCUAAGCCCUAGGAUGGGUGAGGAGUGUGUCAGGGUCUGGAGUCGUGAAGACCUUGUGCUCACCAAGCUGCUCACCUCGGAGGAGCUAGCUCUGUGUGGCUCCAGACUGCUGGUCUUAGGCUCCUUUCUGCUAUUCUUCUGUGGCCUUCUCUGCUGUGGCACUGCUAUGUGUUUCCACCCACGUCGGGAGUCCCACUGGUCCAGAACCCGACUCUGAGGGCACUGGCCUACUUCUUGCCUUGUUCUCAGUCAUCGCUGCAUUUAGGAAAAGUUGAUUCAGCUAACAAGAUCUUUGGAGAGAAUCAGCUUCAUAAAGGUUUAAAUCAACUUCUUGGGUCUUGUUGGAAGAGAUGUUACAGUGAAGAGCUGGAAUGAGGGAGAAAUAAACGGCUAUUUUGCCCCGUGUUGCCUAAGGUGUUUAUUGGGGAUUAAAUCAAGGUGGGCAUUUUAGGGUAGACAAGCUUGGGAGGUUGGGGGGACUGUUCUUUGUUGAGUCUGGUUUGGCAUAGGGGAUAGGUUACUUCAGUGCUCACCAUGGUUAACUUGACUUUGGAAAACACUUGUGCCACACUGUGUUUUGUUUUCUUUUAUAAAAUAAAAGUGAUAAUUCCAGCUAGUUGA
RNA transcript from Otolemur garnettii (small-eared galago), 1253 nucleotides. It is a transcript of the gene named transmembrane protein 219, with no coding region annotated. Lineage: Eukaryota; Metazoa; Chordata; Mammalia; Primates; Galagidae. The transcript is spliced from 7 exons. The record is from RefSeq and is a predicted model, not a curated record.